AGUCGAACGGCAGCACGGGUGCUUGCACCUGGUGGCGAGUGGCGAACGGGUGAGUAAUACAUCGGAACAUGUCCAGUAAUGGGGGAUAGCCCGGCGAAAGCCGGAUUAAUACCGCAUACGCUCUACGGAGGAAAGCGGGGGAUCGAAAGACCUCGCGUUAUUGGGGUGGCCGAUGGCGGAUUAGCUAGUUGGUGGGGUAAAGGCUCACCAAGGCGACGAUCCGUAGCUGGUCUGAGAGGACGACCAGCCACACUGGGACUGAGACACGGCCCAGACUCCUACGGGAGGCAGCAGUGGGGAAUUUUGGACAAUGGGCGAAAGCCUGAUCCAGCAAUGCCGCGUGUGUGAAGAAGGCCUUCGGGUUGUAAAGCACUUUUGUCCGGAAAGAAAUCCUGAUGGCUAAUAUCCGUCGGGGAUGACGGUACCGGAAGAAUAAGCACCGGCUAACUACGUGCCAGCAGCCGCGGUAAUACGUAGGGUGCAAGCGUUAAUCGGAAUUACUGGGCGUAAAGCGUGCGCAGGCGGUGAUGCAAGACCGAUGUGAAAUCCCCGGGCUCAACCUGGGAACUGCAUUGGUGACUGCAUCGCUAGAGUAUGGCAGAGGGGGGUAGAAUUCCACGUGUAGCAGUGAAAUGCGUAGAGAUGUGGAGGAAUACCGAUGGCGAAGGCAGCCCCCUGGGUCA
This 683-nucleotide ribosomal RNA is filed under the name uncultured Burkholderia sp. RNAcentral describes it as "bacterial SSU rRNA". It matches the Rfam family "Bacterial small subunit ribosomal RNA", at positions 60 to 736 of the family's 1533-position model. Lineage: Bacteria; Pseudomonadati; Pseudomonadota; Betaproteobacteria; Burkholderiales; Burkholderiaceae. The record is from RNAcentral.